AUGCUCACUUUGGCAGCACAUAUACUAAAAUUGGAACGAUACAGAAGAUUACCAUGGUCCCUGUGCAAGGACAACAUAUUUUUAUUUUGCAAAAAUGG
This 98-nucleotide small nuclear RNA is filed under the name Castor canadensis (American beaver). Lineage: Eukaryota; Metazoa; Chordata; Mammalia; Rodentia; Castoridae. The record is from RNAcentral.